CCUACGGGAGGCAGCAGUGGGGAAUAUUGCAUAAUGGGGGAAACCCUGAUGCAGCGACGCCGCGUGAGCGAAGAAGUAUUUCGGUAUGUAAAGCUCUAUCAGCAGGGAAGAUAAUGACGGUACCUGACUAAGAAGUACCGGCUAAAUACGUGCCAGCAGCCGCGGUAAUA
Molecule: ribosomal RNA, 170 nt
Filed under: uncultured rumen bacterium
Lineage: Bacteria
Description: partial 16S ribosomal RNA
Rfam family: Bacterial small subunit ribosomal RNA
Source: RNAcentral